This 281-nucleotide ribosomal RNA is filed under the name uncultured prokaryote. RNAcentral's name for it is "partial 16S ribosomal RNA". It matches the Rfam family "Bacterial small subunit ribosomal RNA", at positions 524 to 803 of the family's 1533-position model. The record is from RNAcentral.
UACGUAGGUCCCGAGCGUUGUCCGGAUUUAUUGGGCGUAAAGCGAGCGCAGGCGGUUUAAUAAGUCUGAAGUUAAAGGCAGUGGCUUAACCAUUGUUCGCUUUGGAAACUGUUAAACUUGAGUGCAGAAGGGGAGAGUGGAAUUCCAUGUGUAGCGGUGAAAUGCGUAGAUAUAUGGAGGAACACCGGUGGCGAAAGCGGCUCUCUGGUCUGUAACUGACGCUGAGGCUCGAAAGCGUGGGGAGCAAACAGGAUUAGAUACCCCGGUAGUCCCUGAGCGGG